Molecule: long non-coding RNA, 3912 nt
Organism: Panthera leo (lion)
Lineage: Eukaryota; Metazoa; Chordata; Mammalia; Carnivora; Felidae
Source: Ensembl
GAGGGGGGGUACACCUGUCCAAGGGGAAGGGAUGUGUGUUUGAGCGGAGGAGGUGCUGUUAAGCAGAAAGAGGAAGGAAAGACUCAGUUGUUCAUUGGGGAGGGGAGGAAGCUACUGACAAUGACAAAAAAAAGCAACUGCGAGAAACCUCCUCAAGGCAGAGGGGGGAUGGGCCUUUCCUCCACCUAGGGACCUGCAUCCAAACCCAUGGGGGGGGGGGGGCGGGGGGGGGGAGAGGAAACGUGAGCUGUAGAACCAACAGGGGCAGUGACCUCCCAAGCAAACCCUCUGUCAGGGCCACGGACACACAUGCAGAAGACAGGAACCUGAGCAGAGAGUCACUGGGUCCCUUCCGUCAGACACUGCGAUGAGCUGCCAGCCCCUCUGCUGUGUGGUCCUUUGUGUCCUCGGGGCAAUCCCCGUGGACACUGCAGUUACCCAGACACCAAAACACCUGGUCGCAGCGACAGGGAGUAAGGGGACCCUGAAGUGCAAACAACAUCUGGGACAUAACGCUAUGUACUGGUACAGAGUGCUCAGAGGCCACCGAAGCUCAUGUUUGCCUACAGCUAUAAGGAACUCGCCGAAAAUGACAGUGUCCCCAGUCGCUUCACACCCGAGUGCUCAGACAGCUCCCACCUGCACCUUCACGUGGCCGCCCUACAGCCAGAGGACUCCGCCGUGUAUCUCUGUGCGAGCAGCGAGGACACAGCCCCGCACAGCCAACGGCUCCCCGUGCACAAACUUCCUGGGUGCAGCCGGGGAGCCGUGGGGGCGACCACGGCUCAGCUCGACAUCUCCGGUGGGACCCCAGACAGACAGAAACCCCAGGCCACGACGUGCCGGUCGGUUCGCUGGAUGCGGCAAGGCCCAGUUCCCUGCACAGACGCCCACAGCCUGUGGCCUGGCUCUGCCCGGGGCCAGACCGUGCCCGCGGCUGAGUGCGGGACGGAAAGGGUCCGCCUCCAGUUCCUCCGGUAGCUUCCGAUCGAUCGGCACGUGGCCCCGGGGACUCUUUCAGGAGACACGCUGCACUCUGGCCGUGGCGGCCCUGCCAAGCCUCCUGCCAACGCGUACCUUUCUCUGCCUGUUCCUUCCACCCAGGACACACAGAACCUGAAGUCAGGGAGACCCCCAGCCACCAGGUCACAGAGAUGGGGACGAGAGUAAUCCUGAGACGUGACCCAAUUUAUGGGUUCUGUACAUUGGUACAGACAGAUCCUGGGACAGAAAGUGGAGUUUCUAGUUUUAUUCUACAAGGAUAAUCUCUUGGAGAAGUCUGAAACAAUCAAGGAUCGAUCCUCAGGUCAAAGGCCUGAUGGAUCAUUCUCCACUCUGCGGAUCCAGCCCACAGAGCUGGGAGAUUCAGCCACGUACCUCUGUGCCAGCAGCUCAGCCACAGCCUUGCACAGACACCUCCAGCCUGCACACAAACCCUCAUGUAUCUGCCUCUUUUCCAGCUACCAGAAUGCUUUUGCUGCCCAAGAAAGUCUGAUUUGACUUGUUUUUUCAGCUGUUUCCAAAUAGAUAUCUGAAAUUUAAUCACCAAAGUAGUUUAUCUUUGGCAGGAAUGGCCAGGGAGCAUUUUUUGCCAAAUUUUUAUAGACACUACAGGGCUUGACUGUGGCCUCCAAAGAUGGGAGCGUUGUUGCCCAGGAAAAGACCAUCACAUGGCCUAUGUCUUCUCUUUACUUCCUUUUGCAUCUUGGAUUUUGUUUUGUUUUAGUAGCUUAGAAAAAACCAUUUUAACUCAUAGAAUCAGAAAUGGUUAUCGAGGAAGGGCUUUAGUAUUUCCGUAAGAGUAUAGAGGAUUUCCAACAGUGAAUCUUCAGAAGGACGUGCAGUUCAGCAUAAGGGCCUGGACUGUCGAGUCUUUCCCAGUAAGUACUUGAUGCAUUUGGGGAAAUGCUGUUAACUCACAUGAGAAUGAGUUAAGAGAACAGUAACAAUGGAGUCCGCUAUUGGGACAAGGCCAACAGAGGUCUAAACCAGUGAGAGAACCACCAGAAUAUAGCAGGACAGGGCAGGAUCGAAUUCAGCAGCAAAAAUCAAGUAGCAUCUAGAAGCAGAGCAUGAAUGAACUUGUCACCCUGAACUUGACAUGGGGCAUCCAGAUUAACUUCCUGGGUUUUGAGUAAGAUCUCAGUGUUCUUGAAGGCCUGGAGCAGGAAAGGCAGAGUGAAGACUUCAAUAGAAAAGAAUGAAUUUCCUCAUAAUAAGUCAGGAUGAGCUCAAGCAAUGAAUAGAGGCGAAAAAAGUGUGAGCAGAUCAUAUCAGUUAUAAACACAUGAAAUAUUCAUUUACUCAAGUUAUAGCCAUGCCAGCACCACCAUCUACAGGAUCUUCUACAGGGUCAUCUACAGCACCACCAUCUGCAGAAUGACUUUCCUCCUGACAUGAAUCCCACCAACUUUGCAGACCAAAGGAUCCCAUUUUACAGCUAAGGAAAUGAAAUCAUGGACCUGUAGUGGUGGGAUCCAUUCUUGUUUUCAUGUACUGCGUCCUUCAGAAGCAUCUUACCUUGUAGAAAUGAAGAAAGGACGUAGUAAAGGUUUGGCUAAGGGGCUAGCUCAGAUAUAAUACCCUCAAGCUGAGGAGAUACUUUCUAGGAUGUGGUAUGACUUGUACAGAGGGCUGAGAUAUGGAACUAUGUACUCAAUCCAUGAAUCCAGAAGCCAAAGGGUGGGGGGAGGAUGGGUAUCCCUCUCAUUACCACCCCCAGUGAUCCAGCUGCAAAUCCAGGCUUCUUUUCCCUGUAUUUUUAGGGUCUUCUAGAUAAAAAGUUCUGAUUCUUUAAGACAGGGGUGCUUCCACCACAGGACAUAUGAACAUAAACUAUGACUGUACCUGGUCAUUUGGGGCUCCUUUUGAUGGAAGCCCAAUAGGUAAGGAUGGAGGUAUUGAUCUUGACUAUCAUGAGGUGACAGAGUUGCUCCUACAUAAUGGAAACAGGGAAAGGUUUACCUGGAAUUCAGAGAACUAGUUCAAACAUCUCUUGGUGCCUAAAUUCCUGGUGAUAAUGACAGUUCUGCAAUUGCAACCAUUUUGGCCUGACAAAGUAAAUGUACCUAAGGGACUCAAAACCCUCAGAGACGAAUGUCUGGGUCACCCCACAAAACAAACAUCUUAGACCACAGAAGUGCUAAGCAAAGUUGGAGAAAAUCUAGAAUUGGUGAUAAGGGAGAUAAUAAAUCUCAGUAAUGGCUUUGUGUACAGUAAGAGCAGCAGUCCUAUAGCCCUAACCCUGUAUUUGUACAGAUUGCAGCUGAACCCCACCUUGAAGACCUUAUUAUUUGGACUUGAAACAAUGUAGGGUGUAGGCUAUUUGAAAUGCCUCGAUUGUAUCACCACCUAUCUUCCUGGCUCCCCCCCUGAUUCCAGCCACAACUAUUUCAUGCAGCUAUUCCAAGCAGACAUUGACCCCUUCAUAUGGAUUGAACCUCCUCUUAAAUAUGGGCAGUGUAUCUAGCUUUCUUCCUGAAGUGCUCUGUGGCUGUGGUUGAGACACAUGAAUGGCCUACUAGAAGCUUAUACAUGCACGACCCAGAAGUGUCAGGGUGUUAAUGCUCUAUGGGACAAUCCUCCACCAAUGGGGGGAUGAGAACGAAUAAAUAAAGCUUUGUGUCUGUCUCAGACUCCCUAGAAAGUUCUAGAUUGACGAGCAGCCAUUUAUCUAUAAUGAUGGCCCAAUUCAUAUACAUAUUUUUCAUAUUGUCCAUCCUUUUUGUUUCUGUGCAUGAUUUGGCCUCGAUAUCUCCAUCUGACUUAUCUUCCACUUUUCCUAUUCUUUCCAGCUGUAUCUGUUCUGCUUUUAACCCCAUAUAUUGAAUUGUUAAUCAGAGGUAUUUUGUGUAUUUUGUUUCUACAGUCUCCAUUUAAAUGUUUACUAUAGUUUCCAGUUGUCCACUAAAA